CUUUGAUGCCAAAGUCCUCUCCUGUCAGCCAGCCUGUUCACUCUUUAACACUGGCCAAAUAUUUGGUUAUUUAAAUUAUUUUUCAGGUUGCUGUUAAAAUUCUGUGAACGUCUGAACUUCAAUAUGAAACUGUUUAAAAGCCAGAUGAUUAUCCAGAAAGAUGAUUGUCUCCAUUUGCAGUCAGAGUGCGAUGUUAAUUACAAACCUCCUCAUGGGAACAAGCACCUUUUGUCAGAGGUCCUACCCAGGACAUUGUAACCCUGGGCUCUCAAUCCUCUGCCCAUCCCAGCACGAGACAACCAGGGCCCAAAUAUUCUUAAAACCUCAUGUAGCCAAAUACUCUGGAUGGGCACAAUUCUCCAGCUUUCUGUUGAGUUUUGGACCAGCAGAAGAAAUCCAAGAAAAAAUAUUGGCUGAGAAUGGUCAGAGGGUGCCUCCAUCCUGUACAUGCUGCCAUGACAUUUGGGCACAAGACUUACCAGCUAGAAGUGAACAGAAGUAUUUGCAUAUUUGCUGAGUGGAAUAAUCAAAAGGUUAUCAGUGAAACUUCUAUCCUUGUCUAGCUCUCAAUUUUCAUGAAUUUUUUAAUAAAGAUUGAAGUAUUUUUUUUUAAUCA
This 616-nucleotide long non-coding RNA is filed under the name Parus major (Great Tit). RNAcentral's name for it is "lncRNA (ENSPMJG00000003723.1)". Lineage: Eukaryota; Metazoa; Chordata; Aves; Passeriformes; Paridae. The record is from RNAcentral.